UCCCUGGUGGCUCAGGUGGUAGAGAAUCUGCCUGCAGUGCAGUAGACCCUGGUUUGAUCCCUGGAUUGGGAA
This 72-nucleotide transfer RNA is filed under the name Ovis aries (sheep). It matches the Rfam family "tRNA". Rfam says of the family: Transfer RNA (tRNA) molecules are approximately 80 nucleotides in length. The record is from Rfam by way of RNAcentral. Lineage: Eukaryota; Metazoa; Chordata; Mammalia; Artiodactyla; Bovidae.